GCUCGGGAAAGCCUUUGUCGGGCAGAUCUUGGUCGGGCAAGACACACUUCGGGCAAGGCUCGUCGGGCAGUUCUUAUCGGCCAAGGCUGAACUUCUUACAAAAUCUAUCUUUGUGGCUCUGUCAGAGGUCUGAAAGCUUUUAGAGGGGUUGACGGGGGAGAAGAGGAUACAAAAUGAAUCGAUACCACCAUGAACAAGGUAGCAGAGCUAUUACAGGGGUUUGGGAAGGUUUAUCCCGAAUGGGAUGAAAGCUUGUGCUGACUACAGCUUCGUUGAAGGCAAAUCUAGCUUGAGCAGAGUUUUGGCUUUUGUUUGUUUGAUUGAGUGUCCUUAAUUCUGUCUUCUCUUCCUCCUUUUAUAGACGCCUUCAGCUUGGGUUCCUGUAGCAAUAGCGGUGCCCGAAUGCGGUUUGGUGAUGACUCACUAGCUUUUUUACAUGAAUGCCACCAAUAAAGUACUUUAUUGGGCUAUGUAUUGACUGAAUAGCCUACCCCCUGUGGUCUUUGAGCAGGUAAGCAGGUGGCCUUUGUAACUUGUGCCCAGCCGAAAGCCUCUUUCCUGCCUCCUAAGUUUUCCUCUGGGCCUUGGGUUUGGGCCAACUUUCUCUCUGGCCCAAAGUUCAGAUUUUAUCCCAAACAGUGCCCCCUUCAAUUGAUGUUAAGGUUGGGAUCCCAAGCGCCAACAUUAAAUGAAUAACAACAUGCGUGCCCUUUGAGCUUCUUGCGACCUUUAAACUGCCUUCUGGUUCUCUAUAAAUUCUGGCUUUGGAAACCCUUUUCAAAUCAUCACCUCUUCUUCAUUUUGGUCUUCACCCUUCAUCCACCUUGAAUCCUUCCGUCUCCCCACUGAGAAAUGGGUUCCUCAGGUUUUGAGUGGAGUUUCCUGAAACUCCCCUUUCGUGAGAAAAAAAAAAAAGUUUUCACCUGAUGAUUGCUACCUCCAACACCUUUGGUCGAUCACCCCUCUACCUCCAACACCCUUGGUCAGGCGGUCUCCUCUUGAUGUCUGAUCUUCCCACAACUUGUGGUGAUAAGUUGGGCUUCAUCAUCAUACAUGGUGAAGAUCUUGUGGGAGGGUCCUCUACCAAGCUCAUGUUGGCCGCCCAACCCGAUCACCGUAUGUGAAUUUCUAAGGUCCGUCUCACUCUGCUCCCUCUUCGAUAUAGCAAUCCCUAACAUCCCAUAAUGUAGGACAAUAUUUCUUCAAGAAUUUUGCAUUAAUAGGGUGUUUCUGCUCAUUGCCUUCGAGGUCUGCUAGAUAAUAUCCUCCUUUGUUCAAAACCCGACUAAUAAUAAAAGGACCUUCCCAUGUCGGGCUCCAUUUCCCGAAGCCAUGCAGCUGAGCGCCUAGCGGGAGGACCGCUUUCCACGCUAAAUCUCCCUCAUUGAAAGACUUUAACUUCACCCUUUUGUUAUAAGCUCGGGCAACAACAAUCUUUCCUUCUUGAAUCUGGUUCAAGGCUUCAAUUCGAGCUGCAUCCAGAUCCUCAAUACCUUGACACAUGGCUUCAAUAUAUUCUGCACUAUGCAACCCAAAUUGAUUUUGAAUUCUUACGGAACUGACGUUGAUUUCCAUAGGGAGCACUGCAUCUUGCCCGAAAGUCAAGGCAUAAGGCGUCGUGCCUGUCCCCGCUCUUUUAGAAGUCCGGUAUGCCCACAACAUGUUCCCUAGCAUCUCAUGCCACCUUUCUGGACUAUCAAUCACCAUUCUUUUAAUAAUGUUGACCAAGAUCUUGUUGCUAGCCUCUGCUUGCCCAUUUGACUGAGGGUAGUAUGGACUGGAUUGGAUCAUCUUUAUUUUGUACUUGCUUGCAAACUCUUCAACCUCCUUUGAAAUAAACGAUGGCCCACGAUCCGUUACUAUAGUUUCAGGCACCCCAUACCUGUGCAGGAUCUUGGUCUCAAUAAAAUUCUUGACCACGGCUGAAGUUAUGGAUUUUACUGCCGAUGCUUCUACCCAUUUGGUGAAGUAAUCCGUUGCUACAAUUAUGAAAGUAUGUCCCUUACUAGAGGCCGGAUAAAUCUGCCCGAUGAAGUCCAUUGCCCAACCUCGGAACGGCCAAGGCUUGACCACUGGAUUGAGAGGUACUGAUGGUACGUGCUGGAGAGGUCCAUGUCUCUGACAUUCUUCACAUCCGCGGGCAUAGGACUUACAAUCUUUUUCCAUGUCGGGCCAGAAAUAACCAUACCUUCUGAGUAGCCAUCUCAUCUUUGUUCCCGCUUGAUGUGCUCCACAUAUUCCCUCAUGUACUUCGGCCAUUACUCUCAUGGAUUCCUCUAGGCCUAAGCAUUUUAAUAGCAACCCAUCUGGGGUCUUUCUCAACAGAUUUUUUGUCCACAAGACAUACUUGGUUGCUUGCUGCCUGUUCUUCUUACUUGUGGGUGAAGAAGGAUCUUUCAGAUACUGAGUAAUAGGUGUCCUCCAAUCUUCCACCUCGGUCUCUAGAACCAUUACAUCCAGACUGAACCUCCGAUCUAAGAUAGAGGGAAGGUUUCUUGUUUGGAUCUCAACAUCAACACCAUGUUUCCUUUCUUGCAUUGGCACUCCUGAAGCUAGUUGCGCCAUUUCAUUGGCUGCCAAGUUAGAUCCCCUAGGAAUGUGAUUGACUGAUAUCUCAGACUCCCACAAACUCAGCAGUUGUGUUUGCUGCCAUAUAGUACCCUGCCAUAGUGAUGUGUCUGCAUUUGAACUCGCCAUUUAGUUGAUUUAUCACUAACUCUGAAUCACCAAAGAUCUCUACUUCAGUUGCCCCCAAGUCCAUCAGGAUUUCCAGGCCGAUAAUCAAUGCCUCAUACUCCGCCCGAUUAUUGGUAUUUUUCUUGAUAAUCAAGUAGGAAGGAAUAGUAAUGAUAAACCCCUUGAGGGUUUAUAAUCACAAUUCCAGCUCCUGCUGCCUUCUGAGUGUAGGAUCCAUCGAAAUAUAGCUUCCAAGGUGUAAUCCAAAGACCUGCUACUCUCCUUAUCUCUUGCUGGAUCCAAUCUUCUUUGCCCGAAACAUCACUUCUUGGUGGGAUCCAUAUAUUAGCAACUUCUAAACUUCCCGGGAUAUUGAUUUCCUCGCUUUGAGACUCCUGAUGUUCGGUCAGGAAGUCAGCAAUUGCCUGGCCUUUGACUGCCCUCUGGGGUAUGUACUGAAAACUGAAUUCUGAUAAUGUUAGAAUCCACUUCCCAAUCCUCCCUGCUAGCAUAGGUCUUGACAACAUGUACUUUAUCACAUCUGUUUUGGCGAUAAUGUGCACAUGACAAGGUAGCAUGUAAUGCCUUAGCUUGCUGGCAGUAAAAUAUAGAUCCAAACACAGUUUUUCCACCGGAGAAUAUCUUGUUUCUACCUCGGUCAGAAUUCUGCUGAGGUAAUACACAGCCUGCUCUUUUCCUCCUUCAUUAUUCUGGGCUAGUAGACUCCCAAUUGAUCUUUCCGAUGCAGAAAUAUAUAGUUUCAAUGGCUUUCCCCUUUGAGGUGGCACCAGCACUGGUGGGGAAGUUAAGUAAGCCUUGAUGCUAUCAAAUGCCUGCUGGUGGGUUGGCCCCCACUCAAAAUUCUCCCUAUCCUUCAAUCUCAGUAGCGGAGUUAGUGGCUGGAUUUGGCCCGCCAAAUUGGCAAUGAAUCUCCUUAAGAAGUUGAUUUUACCUAGCAAUCUCUGAAGCUGUACUUUGUUGGUAGGUGGAAGUGACUCUAAUAUUGCCCGAAACUUAUUUUUGUCCACCUCCACACCUCUCUAAUGCACCAAGAAUCCCAAGAAAUUGCCCGCUCUUACUCCAAAAGCGCAUUUCUUUGGAUUCAUCUUCAACUUGUGGAUCCGCAUCCUCAUCAAUGCUUGCUUGAGGUCCACGAGAUGCUGCUCUUCUGUCUUAGAUUUCACCACAAUGUCAUCGAUAUACACCUCCAUGCUUUGGCCAAUUAAAUCAUGAAAAAUGGCAUUCAUUGCCCUUUGAUAUGUGGCGCCUGCAUUUUUGAGCCUGAAUGGCAUGACCAGAUAUUCAUAUGCCCCCACAUGACAAGGACAUCUAAAAGCUGUCUUAUGAAUAUCCUCUGGCGCCAUCUUUAUUUGAUUGUAACCGGCAUUUCCAUCCAUAAACGAUAAAACUUUAUGCUUUGCUACAGCAUCUAUGGAUAAGUCAGCCAUGGGCAUGGGAUAUUCAUCCUUUGGUGUGGCGCUAUUAAUAUUCCUAUAAUCAACACAACAUCGUACUGCUUUUGUUAUAGCUUUUAAAACGGGUACAAUGUUGGCUAGCCACUCUACAUAUUUGGCUGGUCUAAUAAAGCCAGCUUUCACCAGCCUUUCAAUUUCUUCUUUGACUUUUUCUUCUAUCUCCUUUGACAUCCUUCGUGGUGCCUUCUUGACAGGUUUAUAUCCUUCCUUGAUGGGCAUUCUAUGUUCCACCAAGGCUGGGUCUAAUCCUGGCAUCUCGGUGUAAUGCCAAGCAAAACAAUCUUUGAAUUCUUGCAAAAGAGAGAUAAUCUUGGCCCGAUCCUCAAUCCUUAAUAAACCGCUGAUUUGAAAUUGGUCUCGGAUCCUCUUCUGUGCCUAGAUCAAUAACUUCCAAUGGAUCCUGGACUUCUGGAGGUGGCUUAUCAGGCUCUGCACACAAAAAUUCAACUAACUCCGGGUUCUCGGGCAGACCGUCUGGCUCGUCUAUAUCGUAGACGCAUUCGGCCAUUUGAAUGGCCUUAUCUAACUCCUCUGUGCAAGAUUCUUCCUCAUUUUCCUGCUGGCUGGUAGAAACUUUCCCCUGCCACUCCUGCUCUUCUUUAUCCAAGAGCUUUUCUUCCUGUCUUCUUCCCUUUCUAUACACCAACAGUCUUUUAAUCAGGGAUCUGACUGCCAUGACCUGAUCUUUCUUCUUUUGUUCGAUCAUUGAUGGUAUAGAGAGUUUGGUAUAAGACAGGGUCUCUCCCACUCCUCCUUGGUAAGGAGCAUCCCUUGUUCUAGAAGCUUUCGGGCCGUCACCUUGGUAGGGCGGCCGUUCUCAUCAGCUCCUAAACAUUUCAAAAUUCCCACGUUGGGAUUGUAGAAAUUUGCUUCUGCAACAUUAGCUGAGGGGAGGAACGGCCGUGAUUCGGCCUCUACCAACUCCCAAAAGCUUGAUCCUUCAGUACUUGCCUCGUGGUAUACAGCCACUUGUUGAUGAAGAGUAGAAGGUAUGGCUAAACUUUGAUGAAUCCAAUCUCUUCCAAGUAGGGCCCCGUAAGUGGAAGUGCAGUCUACUACAAAAAACGCCAACAUUAUUUUCUUGGACCCCAGAUCUACCUCCAAAGGUAAUAUCCCAUGAGUCCUGGUGAUGGCACCUGAAAAGCUCGAGACUGUAAGGUUUGUGGGAAUAAGAUCUUCAGUGCUUCUCCCCAUCCUCUUCAUCUGCUUGGCUGGCAAUAUGUUAACAGCCGCUCCUCCAUCAAUCAAAAAUUCUUUUGAAAGGUACACCUUCCAGAUGAGCUGAAACGUAUAUAGGCUUCAGGUGGUUGGCCAACGAAAUACUUGGGCGGCUGAACACCAUUUUAUCUGUGUAAAUCCGUAGGGGACCACCUUUAGGUACUUUUGAGGAUUCAACCUUGCCUGAGUCUUCCUCUGUAACUACCUCCACAUUGACGUGAGCCAUCAUCGGCUCAGUUGUUAAAUAAUCACCAUCCAUGGUAGCGGGCUGGUCAGGCCUGGCGCCAAACAUGGCGGAUAAUACAUACGUCAUGUUGAUGUGGAAGUUGCUGGGUUCGAGCAAGUCCUCCUUCUUGCUCCCAACGUGAUCCAUGAACUCGUCUAACCAGGCCAUUGCAUCGGCUGGUAGUAAGGGCUCUGGUAUCCCUUCCUGUUGUGGUUGAUUUAUGUCUCCGUACAGCGCUUGCUUUGGAACUUCACCAAACGGAUCCAAAGGCAGAAAGGCUGGUCUCAUCUCAGAUGCAACAGUUUCCUCAUGGGUGGGCCCUGGCCUCCAACCAGGUGUUGGCAUCAUAGUCAGAUCUUCCUGAGCCCUUCUUAAGAUCCUAUACUUGCCAGGAUGUUGGCUUUGUGGCACAUGAUUCCCCAUACCCUCCGUCUUGCCGUUGGCCCUUUCUACUUCCUUCUUACUUCGCCAACGAAGCUGACUACUACUUCCAGAUGUUGCCCUCUCUGGCUUUUUGAUUUUUUUGAGGCUUCAGAGGUGAUGGGGGUCAUCAGGGAAUUCAUGUAGGCUUUGUGCUGCCUUUGAACCCUUCUGACCAUGGAUGCUCCCAUUGGUCUGGUGGGCUGCCCAUCUUUUCCAACUACAUACCAUUUCCGCCCACGAUAUGCAGGAGUUGCUUUCUUAACAGGAUUAGCUAUCCCAUCAGUUCUUCUGACUUCCUUCCCCUUUUGGCCAUUUUGAAGCUGCUCUGUACUUCUUUGGAGUUUGGCUUCCAUGUCCUCUGCCUCGUCAGAAACUUCAUAAUUUCGAAAUACUUCUGACAACGCCUUGGGUUGGGAAUCACCUUCUAAACGUUGAAAAACGCUUCGGGAAGUAUUUUUUCUUGUUGCCUGCUUAAGCCUUUCGCGGGCUUCUCUUUUAAUUAACUCGUGAUCAAUAAGGACUCCAGCUGGGGGAAUCUCGAGUUCACAUUUACACUGGCAUUUACUACACAUAACCAGCCCUUUGAUUAUGGCAGCCUUUGGGUACUCGGAUGGUUUGCCUAUCCCUUUCGUAGGUCGUUUGGCUAGUUUCCCUUCUUCUUCUUCCCUUAUAAUUUUCCCUUUUCCUUUCUCUGCCCAGGUCAUGUUGAGCAUGUUUACCGGGGCUUCAGAAAAGGGCAACACAGGGUUGACUAUGACUACCUCACCUGGUUGGGUAGUCCUGUGUCUUUCUCCUUUGGGAGGAGCCAAACGUAUCUCAUUUCUAGAGCCUAGGGAGGCUUCAUUCAGUCUCUGUAGCAUUUGAAACAAUGUAUUCUGUAAAUCUUCUGGCAUGUUUAUCUUUAUCUUCAGAUCAGAGAGUCCCACUGGGCGUGCCAAAACUAUGUUCGUCGCAGGAAUCUCUUGGCGGACGAGCACACAGCUCCCCUGGGAGAAUGGCGUCGGUUGAGGGUAUCUGUCGUACUUCUGCUUUCUUCUCGGGCUCGCUCGGGAAAGCCUUUGUCGGGCAGAUCUUGGUCGGGCAAGACACACUUCGGGCAAGGCUCGUCGGGCAGUUCUUAUCGGCCAAGGCUGAACUUCUUACAAAAUCUAUCUUUGUGGCUCUGUCAGAGGUCUGAAAGCUUUUAGAGGGGUUGACGGGGGAGAAGAGGAUACAAAAUGAAUCGAUACCACCAUGAACAAGGUAGCAGAGCUAUUACAGGGGUUUGGGAAGGUUUAUCCCGAAUGGGAUGAAAGCUUGUGCUGACUACAGCUUCGUUGAAGGCAAAUCUAGCUUGAGCAGAGUUUUGGCUUUUGUUUGUUUGAUUGAGUGUCCUUAAUUCUGUCUUCUCUUCCUCCUUUUAUAGACGCCUUCAGCUUGGGUUCCUGUAGCAAUAGCGGUGCCCGAAUGCGGUUUGGUGAUGACUCACUAGCUUUUUUACAUGAAUGCCACCAAUAAAGUACUUUAUUGGGCUAUGUAUUGACUGAAUAGCCUACCCCCUGUGGUCUUUGAGCAGGUAAGCAGGUGGCCUUUGUAACUUGUGCCCAGCCGAAAGCCUCUUUCCUGCCUCCUAAGUUUUCCUCUGGGCCUUGGGUUUGGGCCGACUUUCUCUCUGGCCCAAAGUUCAGAUUUUAUCCCAAACA
RNAcentral lists this long non-coding RNA (7700 nucleotides) under Malus domestica (apple). RNAcentral describes it as "long non-coding RNA (MDOM_LNC013564)". Lineage: Eukaryota; Viridiplantae; Streptophyta; Magnoliopsida; Rosales; Rosaceae. The record is from RNAcentral.